This 207-nucleotide ribosomal RNA is filed under the name uncultured bacterium. RNAcentral describes it as "partial 16S ribosomal RNA". It matches the Rfam family "Bacterial small subunit ribosomal RNA", at positions 568 to 774 of the family's 1533-position model. The record is from RNAcentral.
CACGUAGGCGGAUUGGAAAGUUGGAGGUGAAAUCCCAGGGCUCAACCUUGGAACUGCCUUCAAAACUCCCAGUCUUGAGGUCGAGAGAGGUAAGUGGAAUUCCGAGUGUAGAGGUGAAAUUCGUAGAUAUUCGGAGGAACACCAGUGGCGAAGGCGGCUUACUGGCUCGAUACUGACGCUGAGGUGCGAAAGCGUGGGGAGCAAACA